UACGAAGGGGGCUAGCGUUGCUCGGAAUCACUGGGCGUAAAGGGUGCGUAGGCGGGUCUUUAAGUCAGGGGUGAAAUCCUGGAGCUCAACUCCAGAACUGCCUUUGAUACUGAGGAUCUUGAGUUCGGGAGAGGUGAGUGGAACUGCGAGUGUAGAGGUGAAAAUUCGUAGAUAUUCGCAAGAACACCAGUGGCGAAGGCGGCUCACUGGCCCGAUACUGACGCUGAGGCACGAAAGCGUGGGGAGCAAACAGG
RNAcentral lists this ribosomal RNA (254 nucleotides) under uncultured bacterium. RNAcentral's name for it is "partial 16S ribosomal RNA". It matches the Rfam family "Bacterial small subunit ribosomal RNA", at positions 524 to 776 of the family's 1533-position model. The record is from RNAcentral.